AAUGGAGAAAAUAUGAGAAGUAUGCAAAAGUUUAUCUCAGACUAUUUCUAUGCUUCAAUAAGUGCUCAAAAAUGUGCUGCGUUAGACACCAAAGUCAAUACAGAUAUUCAGUGUUUUUGGCAUUUGAUUAGAUAUCCAUUUGCUCCCUAUUUUCCUUUUAAGAAGGAAUAGAAAUACCCACUGAAUAGCUAUUCAAAACUCCAAGUCCAUUAAAUAGGCUGAGUUGACAACCGAAGCGUAUAUCUGAAGACUUAAAUAAGACCACAGGUAGUGUUUUGUCCAGAAAUAAUCAAGCUAGCAAGUUUGAUGAUUCAGAAAAAAAGAAUGAAUAUUAAUCAUAAUUUUGAAUAUUUUGUAUUAUGUACUUGGAUCUUUUUGGUACGAUUUCAAUUUACACUUUACAUUUUGAGUGCUGAAAAAUGAUUAAGACAAACGAUAAAUGAUACACUGGAAAUUAAACAUACUAUUCCAAUGUCUUAGAAAGUGGGCAACACUUUCUAUGCUGUAGUUAUGUAAAAGGCUAAGCCUGUUAGUGAACUUUCUGUUGGAAAAAAGAUCUAAUUUUCUAAGUUGUCAUUCUGACUAAUCGCAACAGCACUCUCCUCACGGACAAAGGGUUCUGAUUAAGAAAUAUGAAGUUCUGACUACACGUCCAAAUGUUAAAUGAAACGUUUGCAAUGAACAUGUUGCAUUCAAAUAAGAAAUAUUAAAAAAAAAAAAAAAAAAGAACAAAAUCCACCUAAAUGAGAUUUUUUUUUUUUUUAUUUACAUUCAGGAUAUAUUGGAAUUUUUUGCCUAAGAUUCUGCAUAUACUUUUUAUAUAUAGACAUGCUAUGUGUAGAUGUGCAUCCUACAGAAUAGCCAUCAUCAUGUAGGAAGAAUGAAUAGCUUGACCUUCAGUUAAGCUACAGUCUUUGAUUUCAGAGUUCCAGGUCAGGCUGGUAUCAGAUUCUCCGUGAAAGAUCGUUGGUUACUUGAGGAUACGUGGGGUUAUCAGAGAACGAAAAAAUGUUUGAAACCUUAAAAUAAUUUCCUGAUAGGAAAAAAAAGGUAUUUCACCCUCUCUUCCUUACAUAACAGCCGGUUUGCAAAGGACUAAAAGAAGGCUUUAUGAAACUGCUGUAGCCAUCUUUUUCCUAUUGGUGAGCAGAGACUUGAACAAUUUGUUGAAGUCUAUGAGAAACAAAUGGGUAAUAAGGAUUUCACAGCCAGGUCAUUUUUUAUUUAUUCUGUUCUACAGCACCGCAUGCAGAGUCGCGAAGUGCUAACCUAGCUAUUCUCAGAAGUUGUUCAAAAUCCGAUGGACUAAAAAUAUUCCGUCUGCCAAGCACUCAAGGUGAUUUGAAAAGGCUCGGAUGCUUUUGCUUUGGGCCACAGGCUGCAGAUAAAUUAAGAGGCGUCAGGGCUUUUUUAAUUUAAAUCUCUUUCUUCUCCUCCAGCCCUAUUAAUAAUGAACCAAAUCCACAACAGUGAAGGAGAAGCCUGCUUGCUGGCUAACGCUCUGUUUGUAAGAUGGUGUCUGCAUCUCCCCACGGUGCUAAAAUUCAUUUCAAGUUACACUUUAGUAAUUGAUGAUCACUUGCUGUAUCCCCUUAUAAAGCUUUUUUAUCAAUGUCUUUGGCGGCUCAUUUUAUAUCAGCAGCAAAUCAAUGAAAUUUUAAUGGAACAGAGCUCUCUACUUGAGGCUGAAUUAAUGUUGCUUUACCUAUUUCAAUAUCAAGUGAAGUUCUCAAAGUCUGGAAGGAUAACUCUUUCUCUGAUAACUCCAGACUGACAGAAUAAAGCUGGUGAAGUAGGAAAUGCAAGUAGGAAAUGCAUGACAGCACGCUGAAUUGCCUUGGCUUAUGGGUCUCCAUCCACUGAAGAGGACUUGCCCAGUUUGGACUGUAGAAAUGGGGAGGACAGUAAGGAAGCACGCUGCCAUGCUGCCUUUAAAGCUGAAGGAAAGAGCCCGUUCUCCAGCAACAUUCAGUGUUAGGUGAGGUGUGUCUUUUGUUUUUACUCUUGAUUUAGCUUCCCACCGUUGCCAAGGUAGUUGUGCUGCUGUUUAGGAAAGCUAUUGCGUGGUGUUUGAAACAAGAAAACCCAUGUGUUGCGUGCUUGUUGGUUUUAACUGCUUGGUGGGGAUUUGUUCAAGAGUGAACUUUAGCUUAUUCGUAGAAUCAUGGAAGGUUGGAAAAGACCAUUAAGAUCAUCAAAUCCAACCAUUCACCCAUCACUACCAUGCCAACUAAGCCAUGUUGUUUGUGCACAUUGAUGGCAUCUAUGGAAUUUCUCCUUCCUUAAGCAAAAGUGAUUGCAAGCUGCCCCCAGAGCUGCUUCUGGAGAGCCAUGGAAGCCCCUUCAAAAGUCAGCUUGCCUAUUUUUUGGUGAAGAUCCUGGAGAAUUUUGCCUUCUUUAAGUUUAAUGUUUUGUAGUGACUGCUGUUGCAUGUCUGAUAAAACAUAGCUGCUAUGAUUUCUGUAACAGUUGCAGAUACAACUGAGAAAGUAUUAGAAGAGAUAGUUAAAAAAAAAAAAAAAAUGUCAAUUUCUAACCAAAGAAGGUAAGGAAACAAUUUGUCACCAUUGACAACAGGAAAAUGAAUAAAUAUUGCAAUAGAUAUAUAUCUACUCAACAAAUUUAUAUUAGUAUCAGAGCGACAUCCUGUCUCAGGAAGGGUAGUAGACCAAUGUUAUUAACUUCCUUGAUGGAGAUCUUUCAUUUCAGGCCGUGAAUUUGUGGUGUGACAUCACUGUCUUCUUUGUAGUUUUGCUUGUGAUCUUCUAUUUCCUAAAGAAGUAUGCAAAUUAUUACAUUAUACUGUGUUUUAAAGUAUUAAAUGGUUGUAAUUUUCAUAUUUGCAUGUUCUGAGCUGGGCUUCUGAAUUCACCUUUUGGCACUGAGAUAGAAGUGACUAAGCUGAGAAGUCUUGGAUAUUCUAUGUAAAUUAAUGCAUAGAGUAGAUAUCUGUCAUUCUGGGAAAGUUAGGAUACAGUGUAGUUGCAAAGACUCAGAAAAUGUGGAGCGUAUGUUGAGUCACGUAAAGCUUGGGCAUUUAUUGUUAAUUUUUUUAUACACACAUCAUGAGAGUCCCUCAUCAGUAGUAAUUGUAAGGCUUUAAAAGGGACAAGUGGAUCAUAUUUUCUGGAAGAACUUAACAGCGAAUUGUAGCAAAACAGCCUAUGAAAUGUUUCAGGGUCCAUGCUCAUUUCUUCUUCAGUUUGCUGACUGCAGGAUCCUCUGCUUCUUUUUAAAGACCUCUGUCAUCCCUUUCUGGACUCUCCCGCUUUUUUGCUUUUCUUUUCUUUUUUCGAUCUCUUUUAUCCCCUCCCCCCCUAGCUUAAAAAGCAGAAGUGUUUGCCAGUAAGUUGUAGUCACUUGAGUGCACUGUUAACAUGUGCUUGAAACCUCUGACAACCACGCCAGAAUUGUUCAGAACUCUUUAUUGUAGAAAAAGUAGGGAAGAAAAACACUCAGACAAACAAUUUAAUUAAGCAAAGGAAAGCAAUUUCAGGCGAGCUGAAUUCUUUGUUUUUAUACUGAAUAGUACUGAACUCUUGAAAUUUAAGAAUAGCUCUAUGUUUCCUCUUCUGCUGUCCUCUAAGGCUCUCAUAAGCUCUUGAUAAGAACUAGUUCUGAACUGAGUGCUAUAAUAAUGCUCUUCCAGUGCCCACCUGACCCAAAACUCCUGGAAGUCUGUGCAUGUCUUCUUUUAAUUUUCCAAUGUAUUCAAUGUCUGCUAGAACAAGAUGCAUAAAGGAUGAGGAACAAGAUCUUUCUGUGAAUAAAUCUGAUGAACCCCAAGGACUUGAAUUCCUUGAAAAAAUUUCAGAGGAGUGUCUGAACACCUGUGCUUCCUAUUAAAUCUUACGAAUGUUCUGAGAAUCUGAGCCAAUCUGUAAUGAUACUGUCCUUAUGUAUUUUCUAAUCUGUCCUGCUACUCUGGAUGAUAAGCCCUCUAAUAACUCUUUGGAGUACAUCAAAAUGUCAUUUUGUGCAGAAUGCCUGCUCUUUUCCCUCUAGAUCCUAGCUUAAAAAUGAGUGUUGUGUCACAGAAGAUCAUUUUGGAUUACAGAACAACUUCUCAAAAUGUCAGCAGUAAAUAGUCUGCAAAUCCCUCAUUAUCAAUAAUACAGCACUGAUAUUCAGUAAAAAGCCAUUUUGUAAAACUUUCAAGUCUGUAUCCUAACAAACCUUUUAGCUAGUAGCAAUCCCCCCAGCAUCAAGCAGGUUUAAUGCAAAAGAGAUCUGUUGUUUUUUUCCCUAGAGAACUCAAGUGAAGGUUUUAUAAACUUUUGGACAAGGGACUUGGAUUUCAAUACUGUUUUAAAUGAAACCAUUUAAGGAUGUUUUUAGUUCUUCAUCUUUACUCAUUGUAAGAAAUAAUAAUAAUAAAAAAUCCAUCAGUACGUGCUCAGAAACUAUUUUUUUUAUAAGAGUACAUUACUGUUUAUGAAAUUAUUUUUGUGCACUCAAUACUGACUUGGAUGUCACUAAAUUAAUGUUGUUGAGAGUGUGAGUCUCUGACUUGUGUUUGGUUUCCUUAUUCAUUUACACACCUUUCUUAAAAGCUUUCUUUCUUGUAUGAAGUAAAAGAGUCAGCGUUCUAAUGUUACUUGUGUGGAAACUGUAAUGCAAUAGGUAUAAAGCUAUUAUUUUUUCCAUGCGUAUCAACUUGAAAACUCUCACUGAUUGCAUUGGUAGAGAGUUAGGUCUGUAUGAGGAGCAGAGAAGAAAGGUCAGUGGGAAAAAAAUACAAUGAAAUCUUAAACCUUCAGAAAAAAAUGUGGUGAUGUUCAAAACAGUGAACGUGGUGAUAAGCACUGGUAUUAGGUUGAAGACUUCAAGAUUCUUUAUCUGCAUUGCUGGGCUUCCAGCACCAUGUUACUGUACAUUUCGCCUUGUUUAUGUAGAUUUUAAGGCUGGGAGGAUGAACUUGACUCUGUUUUUGACUUACCUGAAGAGGUUUUCUGACAGGAAAACUGUUAGGUAGCUGUGUACUGGGAACCCUUUUAAUAUAGAACCGUUCAUCUUAUAUUAACUUCUGUAAGCCAUCAGCCUGAAAUGAGCUGUCCUUGAACAAAUGAGUCACAAGGGCUGGUCUAGAUAUCUGAUUGCCAGCUGCUAGCCAGUCAAUCGUAUAUGAAGUGUUAGGAGAGCUCAUAAAACAUAGCUCACAAAAAAUUAAGCUCGCUAAGAGACAAGUGCAUCUGUACAUUUCUUUCUAAAAGAAUAACAAUGAAAAUUAUGUUGAAAAUGCAUCUGUUACACCUUAGAUAUCACUGCUGACAAACAUUCUUUCAGUAGCAUGCAAUGCUAGACCUUAAAAUAAAGAUGUUUCUGAAAGGAAAAAGCUAUUUUUUUAAAUCAAACUUGGCUAGCUUUGACUUCCAGAAAUGAUUCAGUAAAACAUACUGUCACAAAUAUAUGUCAAAGUCAUUGUCAAAUACCAAACUAUUUUAAAACCAGAUUGAUGAAUAGUAGUAGCUAAGCUUCAAACACAUGUUCAUUUUUAUAGUUAUUACUCAUAUGCUUGUGACCUCUAGUUAACUUCACUGGAGCCUGGAAUGCCUGCACAGAUUUUCUUUGUCACACUUCUGGUUCUCAAAAGUAUUUUAUGAUCCUUCCUCCAGCUUCUUUCCUCUUCUAAACUGCUCGUCGUGGGCAAUUAUUGAACUAUCGGGAUGUUGACAGGUAGCGGACUGUGAUUGGGCAGCUGCCACUGCAGCAGGAGUUGUGUGCACAGCACAGUUGAAUCUUGAAGCACAUUUGAGCAGGAGUACAGAUUGUAAUGGUACGUACUGCAGGGGUUUGCCUCGUUUAACACCUGAGAAGAAUUGGAAACAGCUGGAGCUGCAUUUUCUUGAACAACUCCAUCCAAAAGGGAGACAGAGUGCGAGCUCCAGAGAAUAAUCUAGACCAACUUAAAAAUGAAGGAAGCAGGAUGUUGUUAUAAAAAAUAAUGUUCAUGGGGCUGGAAGGUUAGAUGGUCACAACAGCCUCUGUGAAGUAAAAACAAAUUAAUGUACAUCAAACCCUUUCAUAUUCUAUGCCUUGGGUAUUAUGAUUGUAAAGAAUGUAAUCCUUAGCUUCAAUUCAUCCACUGCAGAGGAAUUUAGACCCUUUUCUUCCUUUGACAUUCCCUAUUCCUCUUGUUCUGCCAAAGUUCAGUCCUAUUCAGAAGACGAGCGUGCAGCUAGCAUAGUUUUGAAAAAGUACUGUUUCAAAACUCCUGAGUGCUGCAGAAAAGGACUUAAUAUACUGUGGAAACUGUGUUUCCACAACCUGUAGAAGCAUACAUCUGCACGUAGACUGGCAAUAAAAGUUUGAAAAAAUAUAUUUGCUUCGUGGUAGACUGCGUUCCAGUGAAGGUCCACCACAGCCAUAAAUUAAUGAUGGAGUACCUUCAAGCCGAACAGGAAAUAAUGUAAUACAGUCUUAGGUGACAAUAGUUUGCCUUACUGUAAUGUUACACAGAUAGCACAGCAACUUUUGUGGCAAUGUACGUGCUGCCCAAGGAAGAGAAAACCUCAUGAAAACAGAUGUAAAAAGAAGGCCUUCAGAAAACUAACUCUAUCAGAAGGUCAGCUCAGUUAACUUCCUUUUGAACCUGGUAUACAGAUUGUGAAAAUAGGAUUAUAGUCUGAACAGUCUUAUUCACACAGAUGUGUAUGACCUCUUGCACUCUGAGCAUUCAUGCAGCAAGCAGGUGGGAACGUAUUUGUCCUGUACUCCGAGACCUGGAGGCAGCAAGGGUAAUGCUGAGUCAGACACAUAAGUCCUGAAACGAGUAUAUGUUAACUCAGAUCUGACAUUCUGCAAAUCAUUAAGCAAAGCUCAUUAUUUUGGAUGCUUAGUGUGAUGAUCACUUGUAAUUCUAGCACCAACAAACUCCUGACGGGCCAAACGUCUGUGAAGGAACAAAGAGGAAAGUGAUCUUGUCAGAGUAGUUCCAUUUUACUAUCAUCACUUUCUCUUUUAAUGUACAUUAAUAUGCUAUGCUACUUUGUUUUGUUCAACUCAGAGAAUUCAACAGUGAUACUUAUUCUCAAAUCUCUGUCACCUGAUUUCUUGCAGGCUUUAGCCUUCUGAAAAAAUGGUUGUGUGUCACAAUAUUUAUUCAGUUGUUCAAGAGUUUUACUCACUAGGACAAGGUUCUUGAGUUGGGAUUGUCCUGCUCACACAGUCCUGGCAGUUUGGUAAGCUGCCGCUUCUAAAUUGGUAUUUUAUUGAACCUGGCUGAUGGGUGAACUUCUUCCCCACCUGUUCAUGGUAUAAAUAGAUCUUCCAGAACUAUAGUGACCAAGACUCCUUGCAACUUGCUUUAUUAUGUCAUCGUAUGAGAUAGGGAUCCCCUGCUGGCGUAUGCUGUCAAAAUUUGUCAAGUGUGCAUAACUCAAUGUGUAAUUAAACAUGAUCAGGUACAUUGCAUUCUGUUUUUUUCUGAACAUUCGCAAUUUAACCCCUGUCAGAGUUUGGCAGACACAUGACUGAAAAUGUUUUAGAUGAUGCUGAAGUUGGAGCAGGCACAGAAAGUCUUCCUUAGCUGGCGUGUUGCUGAGAAAGGUCUGAGUACUGAAAUGUCAGUGAAUUCAUUCUCUUAUUUGCUUUUCUACUAUGGGAGAUAAGUAGCUAGCACAUUAUUUUAAAAUAAGUACGUUAAUAGUAUUUUAUACUUUGUUGUGCAUGUGGUGUUCCGUGUUUGAAAUUAAAGCCAGAGAAUAAUAGAAAAAUUGACUUGUUUUGUAGAUGCAGCAUCUUUUCAUGAGCUAGAAUGAUUACAUCCACUUCCAAGAAGUGUAAGAACAGAGAGGGCUGAUCUUGGCAGACAGCGUUCAUAUGAUUUCUAUCUCAGUGCCUAUUUCAAAAACAGCCUUUGGUCGGGAGCAUACCACAGCCCAGCUUUUCAAAUGUGCUGAGUUGUUUUGCAUUGCCUUGUUUUGUUAGUUGGAGGCGUUUUGUAAGGUUUUGUAUUUCCUAGUGUUUUGUAGAACAGAUUCUUUCGAAGGAACUCAGGUGAAAAAUUGAGGUAUCUGAAAUCAUUAGUUGCUUUUGAACAAUCUUUCUUUCCUUGUUAUUUGAUCAAAUGCUUCUCAGCAAUUCCUGAUUAGAGCUUCUGAGGGAAAUUAAGGUCCAGAAUAUGAAGAUCAACAAGAAUGCUCAGCUGAUGGUCUCAGUUUUAAUGGAUAAUUUUACUGUAUUUAAAUAUGGCACACAAAUGAAAAUACCUUGGCCAGCUUAAUCAAAUAGAUGAUUUUUGAGAGAGCCUGGCUCCUGUCUGGCUCAGCACCAUCUUUUUGAGAAGAUACAGGGAUGUGCUGCCAAAAUAGUAAAUUCUGCUCCUGGUCCAACGAUGCAUAUAGAAGAGGCUGUUUAUGCAGGAUCAGAUAUGCAUUUGCCCACGGAAUAAAUAAAUGCUAAGAAAUACAUCAGCCCUGUUAGCUGACUUACCCUCAACUGGUUGUGGAAUAACUGGAGAAUGAGUGUGCCUAGAGCAUUGGUCUGCAGGUGAGAGGCACGAUGAGCACUGUUUUGCCCCACUUCAUUAGUAUACCUAUUGGCAGUAUCUACUCCCUUUAGUCUGGGCAUUCCAUAGGAAGCACUGGUACAAUGUAGAGACUUGCAGACUGAGAUGAAGUGGAAAGAAAAUCAAUCCCUGCUAGAAAAUCACUAGGCGGUAAUUCAUCCAGGAGUCAGGCUAAAGUUCCUGUCUGCUUUUCAUGAUUUGCUGCUUCUGCUUCUCCUCUCCUACAUUAUCACUGCAAAGAGGUCUCCUUUUAACUGUGUAAACUUUCAAGGUCUACAGAGAAGUUUUAUUAGGAAAACUUUCUUUUUUCUUUGUCAAGUCCAAGAGGGACAGAAAAUAUUACUUAUAUUACUUAUAUUACACCUUUUGAAUAUUUCACUAAAAAUUUGGAUGAGAAAGAGUUUCACAAUUCUGACUAUUGAAAAUAAUCAUGAAGACCAUUGAGAGGAGUGAUUAGCAAAGCAAGGGAGGUGAUUGUCCCUCUUUUCCUCUGUGCUUAUGAGUCCCCAUCUGGAGGAUUGCAUCCAGGCCUGGGGCCCCCAGCACAGAAGGGUUGUGGAGCUGUUGGGCUGGGUCCAGAGGAGAGAUACAGAGACGAUCAAUGGGCCGGAUCACCUCUUGUACAAAGAAAGGUUACAGGAGCUGGGGUUGUUUAGCUUGGAGAAGAGACUUCAUUGUGGCCUUCCAGUACUUGAAGGGAGCUUAUAAGCAAGAGAGGUACUGACUUUUUACAUGGUUUGAUAGUGAUAGGACAAGGUGUGAUGACUUUAAACUGAAAGAGGGGAGAUUUAGGUUAGAUGUAAGGAAGAAAUCUUUACUUAGAGGGCGGUGAGGCACUGGUGUAGGCUGCUCACAGAUUUUGUGGGUGUCCCAUCCCUGGAGGUGUUUAAGGAUGGGGCACCUGAUCUGGUGGGUGGCAACCCUACUUACAGCAGAGGGCUGGAACUAGAUGAUCUUUCCAGUCCCUUCCAACCUAAGCCAUUCUAUGGCUCUAUGAUUCUGUGAGAGCUGUCUUAAUACUUGAAUUUCAAUCUCUGCUAUCAAGUUCCUGCUUUAACAAUUAGCAGGCUUUUGAGUAUUUAGGAUAAAAGUUUUUCUUCCUCCCCUCUCUUCCAUUUCUUUACUUCUGUAUUAAGACAAGCUGAAUGUAUGUAAUCUAACUCUAAACUCAGCUUUCUGGCUGAGAUAUUAACAGUAGAUGAAGAAAACAGAUAGAUCUGUUGUUUGUGUUUCUGUGUUGUGGUUUUUGUUUCUUUUUUUCCCUUGAUGUAUUUUCUUCCACAGCCUUGAGCAAGAGAUUCCUAACUGAGAAAGACUGGGUUCAUUAAGUUAAUGAAGGAGCUAACUGGAGGAUGCUUAGCAAUACAGGGAGAAGAAAGUGCAUCUAUCUUGUAUUAUUAAGAUUUAUCAUGUGAUCAGAAGGCAGUUGUAUACAUUUGUGUGAUUGUUUACAUGUCUCAAGUGAGUAAUUACAGGGAUAGGGAAAACAAAAAGCUAUCUUAAAUGUGGGGAAUGUGUUCUUGUGAUACAGCACAGCACGGCCAAGGCUAAAUUACAGACAUAAUGGCUUAAAUAGUAUAGUCUUAUUAGUCACAUUCACCAAAUGCGAAAACGACACUGUUGUUCCCCAAAUACCUUUGGAGACAAAUUAUGGACAGUAUUGGCAUUUCCAUAAGAAAUGGACAGUAAAAAGUGUUUUGUUUUUCCUUUGGUAAGUAAUUAAAGAUGGACAAACCAUCAGUAGCACUUGAUUUCAUGGCUCUCGGAUGUAUGAUGUGAAUGUUCAUUGUGAAUCAGUACUUUGAAAAAGAUGCCUAGUGAAUACUUCUGUGUUUGGUUGGUGGGUUUGUUUACUACAUUCGCCUACAAAGCACUACACAGAUUUAAACUAUUAAUUUUGACUAUCAGGAAAUGUUUGAAUAAAACUCAACUUCUUUAAAUGGUUAAGAAGAAAGCUUAAAAAAAAAAAAAGGAAGUCAGUAAGCUUCUAAUGGGAAGAAUUUUUAUUGAGUAGUGACUUCUCUGUUAAUCAAAGAUUACUGAUACCUACCAUUCUCACUGUAAAACUAUCAAUGGCUACAGUCUUUGCAGUUUAAAGGUACAAGAGAAUGUAGACUCAAUGCAGAAAAGAGGUGAUGAAUACAACUGAAGAACUUAAGGGACCAUCUGGGCUUUUUAUUGACUGCAAAACUGGAAAUACUAAUAUUUUUUGGUACUUCAUUCCAUAAAAGACACAAAACUAUGCAUGUAAGUAAUAGAAAUGUAGCAGAAGAGAAACCUCUUUAUCUAGCUCAUCACCUUUCAGUGACAUAAGCUUAAUAGCAGAUGUUCAUCCUUUAUUCUCUAAGCAUUUUCUAAAUACUUCCCUGCCCAUUCUGAUGAUGAACACAGAACGCCUCUGAAUUAGAUAUUUGUUUAUUAUUUAUCACUGGAGUAUUUUUACCAACCUUGAUGUUAGAGAGCUGUUGUCAUGUUACCUGUGGGAUUUCUCUUUUCUAGACUAACCCUCAUGAAUUCCUGCAGCUUUGCCUUUUAGGUCAUAUUUUUAAAACCUGUUACUACAGGUUUUCUUUUUUAUGUUCUCUUAAGAACUCUGUGAUUGCUUUUGUCUGCUUUAAGCAGACUGGCCAAGCUGCAGUCAGUGUUCUGGCUGAGCUCUCACCGGGAACACACAAAGCAAACCAAUUUGCUUCAUUUCAGAUUCACAAUAUUCCUGCUAGUACAGUCCUUAAUAAUUUUCCUGCAUUGUUGGCUCUUACUUAGGUUUAGUCUUGACAGCCAGAUUCUGUCCUGACGUAUACUGAUUGAUUGUUUCCCUUUGAAUUAUGCUCUUUAUUUCCCCUCCUUAUGGACACAUUUAUAAGGCAUAAAUGUCUUAGGGACAUUUCUCCUCCUUAUGCCUGGUCUUCAGUGCAUGCAUCUUCAAAUUAGUUCCUCUCGUCCAAAAUGCAUAAUAAAUCUCUCAAUAUGAUGCUUUGAUUGCAUUAUUUAUUUCAUUAGUCAAAUAAUUUACAGAGAUUAUGAUUAAAACAGUUAAAAAAAAAAGAAAAAGGAAAUAAAGAACAAUUUCAGGUCAGACCUCUGGAAGACAUCACUUAAAGUCUCUUAGUCUGAUAACAAGAAAUAGUUAACUUAGGAAAUUUUGAUUGCAAUUCUGCAAGUCCUUUCAGUUCACUGUACUUUUACAGUACCAAAUGCCUCACAAAGGCCAAAGUUCGUCAUGUCUGUUGCUUAAACCAGUUAAGUCAGCUAGAAGGGUUGCUGUAGUCAGGUAUUUUUGAUAAAACCAGGCAUCGUGAAGAGUAUGAUGUUACUAUAGCUAUUUUAAGAAUACUUAGCAACCCAUCAGGUUUUGAAUAAGACUAAGUGGCCUGUGAUUCUCAGGUAUUCCUUUUACUGCUUAAAGUUGGUACUGUUUUCUCCUUCUUCAUUUGCAAACCAAGUGAAACUCUUCUCUAAAGAUCACUGUAACUAAAGAUAAAGUUUUCAACUUCAGCUAUAAGUGCAUACACCUGUGUUUCUGGGGGAGUUCCUUCCAGCUGUAGUUUUAUUCACCAUGCAGGCCCACUGAAUUUCUCAUCUAGCUGUGACUAGUUAGGUAUGCAUGCAUUCAGUCUCUUGCAGAAGCAUUUGUAUGAAAGAACUGAUUUCAGAAAAAAAUCAGCAGAGGGUCCAAAAAGUGUUAUAAAUUUAUCAAAAGAUCUGCCAUGGUUCCAAAAUCUCUUUUUGAAACAUAUUUCUAAAGAACUCUUACUGGAGAUGGAAAUUUAGUUAUACCCUGACAAAUGGGUAGUUUACUUGCUAAGGUUCCAUAAAUAAGGUUUCUGUAAAUAGAUGUAAGUGAAUAUGCAAGGUAUGGAAUGUAGAAUAUUUCCUUACCUGCUACAACCUAAAAUUACUCAGGAAAUGAACAAAAGCUUCCUCAAAACAAACAAACAAAGAAACCAAACAAAACCCAUGAGCUAUGACUACCAGCUACCAAGUGAUCCUUUCCAAGAUGAGAGAGUACAGAAUAUUUUGGAAGCCCUUACUGCAUGAAAGCCACAGUAGCAGCCUGGAUUAUAUAAUUUGGUCAUUGUCACUGAAUUUGUGCAAGCACGUAAAGUGGCAGCAAAGUCAGAAUCACAGAAGAAAAUGCUUAGGUCAACUCAAAGACCAAUUGAAAACGGGAUAUCUAAUGCAUGCUAAAAUUAUGGGUAAUGCCAGGUCAUAUUAUUACUUUAGAAUAGUGGGAAAGUAUGCACUUAAUGAGCUCUACUAAGAGCUGUGUGGCUUGAUUAUUGCAGGUGAAAUAGUUCAGCUGCUAACAAAUGGUGCAGACCUUUUUCAAAGGUCUUUUCCCUGGCCUUCCCUCCGCUCCUGCCUUCCUCAAGGUGUUUCUGAGCACUGCCUUACUUCUAGUGAGAAUCCUCAUGGCAGGCUGAUGCUGGUACAAGGUUAGACAGAAGACUCUAAGGUCAGGAUUGAUUUUGAAAUAAGUAAUUUCAAUGACUAUUAAGGUAAUCAAUACACAGCUUGGAGCAAGACAUCUAAAAGUAGCCAAUACUCUCUUCCACAUCAAGAAUUCAUCUGGAAUCUUACAAGACUGUUUUGCAGAUUCUCAUAAUGAGAAGUCAGACCUUCAGUGCAAGUUGCCUCAUUCCUCUAGAGUAAGUUGAUUUGUAUCAGUGUACACCAGCAGAAGAUUUAUACCAUGGUGCCAUGGAAAUGCUAAGUCGUAGCCUGAAGCAGUGAUUGCACACCUGGUGGGAAGGCAGGGCCAACCCAGGGGAGCUCAGGUGAACACAAUGCAGCUGAUUAGAAGGGCUGGAGCGGGGAUCCACCCUUUCCCAGACCUCAUGUAAGGGUGGCAGUGGAGGGGGAGCCUCUCUUGUUGGAGAUUCCUGCCUAUCUGAAGAUGUUACAGGCCUUCCAAAGCUCCCACUUCUCUUUGUUGGCAUUGUCAACAAAAAUAAUGAAAAGUUACUUCAGCAGUGAGAUUUGUCCAAGAAAUAUGGAGAGGAGUAAUCACCAAGUAGGGAAGCAGGGCAAGGCUGAGGAGGAAUUGGGCACAGCAAGGUGCAGAGACACUGACUGCCUCAGCCAAUGGAAUCAAUAUCAGAUGCAGAAAGGACAAGACAAUGGAAUUAAAACAUUCAAAAUUCUUUUCAGCACUUCCAGAUGCCGAUAGCAGAGACGUACUGACAUGAAAACCUCAACAAAAAAGUUGUAUCUACCCCAUCUACCUCUGUGAUGACAGAAUCACAGAAUGGCUUGUGUUGGAAGGAACCUCAAGGAUCAUGAAGCUCCAACCCCCUCGCCACAAGCAGGGCCACCAACCUCUGCAUUUAAUCCCAGACCAGACCACAUUUAAUGCCCAGGGCCCCAUCCAACCUGACGUUGAACAUCUCCAGGAAUGAGGCAUCCACAACCUCUUUGUGCAGCUGUUCCAGCACCUCACCACUCUCAUAGUAAAGAAAUUACAGAUUAUGAAGUAGUGGUUCCUGUGUGUAUCUGCUGUGCUGACCUCACCUAUAAAUGACUCUGCAGUGGAAAAGAUUCUUCUGUUCCCAAAAAUAUAAAUUACUCUUUAGACUAGGUUUUGCAUUCAAGCUAAUACAAUGGUGUUACUCAUAAGAGUGAAAUUAUUUGUGUUCAUACACGUUCCUAGAAUUAAUAUGUAACAUCUCAAAUCAGAUCUAACAGGAUGAAAAUGCGGAAUUUUGGGGGUCCAAUUUUGAGUAUGUAUCAAUCACAAAUUAUGAUUCUGGAAAAAAAAGUAGUUGUAACUAUGAGGUUAAUUAUAGUAACUAUGAGGUAGAUUACAUGCAGUCAUCAAAUAACAGUUUUGUUACGCAAUGAGUAUCUGUCUUUGCAGUUAUAACACUGCAUCAUUUCUUAAAGUUAGUAUUAUCUUGUAACUUCACGUUGUGUUUUAAUUGCCUACUUGAAUUUGCUGUGCUUUAGUAGUGAAGACUUGCUGAUUAGUAUAUUAAUUGUUUUUAAGUGUUAAUGUAAUGCUUGGGACUUAUUUAACUUGGAUAAAUUGUGGGAUCUUUUUUUCUCUUUUCCUUGUUUUCUUUAAGAUCUCAGCACAUAUAUCGGUCGAAUCUCCCUAUGAACUCAAAUACCUGCUCUUAGAUAAUGGCUAUUAGACUUACGCUGUAAAGCUAAUCGCAGCAGGUGCCAUCACAGGACAGUGGGACAGUAGUGAACAUCCUUCCUAGUCAGUGGUCUCUGAUGUCAGACCCAGACUUUAUCCUUCUUCUACUGUGCUUUUUCAGGUGAUGUUUAAAGCCUGAUUUGGCUGAUUAGUGCCAAUGUAGUUGAUUAAAGUUGCUUAUUGUUUUAGUCUGUCAGCAGUGUGAAUGUCAUGCAUCUGCUUAGGUAGGAGUAGUGGUGAAUUGAAAGGUAAGAGCUAUGUCUGAUUUCCAAUAUGAGCUGUUUUAGCCAACCCCCAUCUGAUGGGAAGCCUGUACCACUACAGGACUCAAGCUGUGCCUUUGUACUGAUCUGCUGCUCCUCAAUUCAAGAAAUACUGCCUCAAAAUAAAGCUGUUUGUCUUAUGUCAAGAGAUGAUUUCAUAUGCUCUCAGUGGUAGCUUAAGGAGAACUUUAAUCACUGCUCUAUACUAGGUUUUCAUGUGUUUUGCUUUGAUUGCUUUUAUAUACAUACAUUAGUGAAAUGGGGCAGGAACAGAGGAAGUUUUUGUUACAUUCUGACGGUCUUUGACAGGUCCUGGAUGUAUUGGGACUGUCUCCUCAACCAAGGCAGAACCCGAGUUACACAAAGGAAAGCUGUAUUGGACAAUUGGUCUUCCAGCUGAAGAAGCCAUGCAGAAGCACAUGAUAUCAUGAACAUUAUUAUUAUUUCCCAGAAACUACUGAAAAAAGCAGUUAGUUUUGUCACAGACAUAAAUGUUCUGCUUGGUGUCAGUGCAACCUCCAUUGUUUGCAAAGGUGGUUACCUUGUGUGUGCAGAAGUCCUGCCCGCUACCAUUAGCCAUACCGUUAGCUGUUACAGGAGGCUCUGCUGGUCAGUCAUGGUGACCCAGUCUGGCCAUUUCUGAUAUUUAAUGUAAUUCUCAAGUUGUUGUAAAACUCCAUAAGAAAAAGCCAUGCUAUAAUGAACAGACGGAAAUAAAGCUUCCCUUGUCUAAUAGUGUUAAAAUAUAUAUAUGUAUCUGAAGAAGUAAGGAAAGUGUUUGUCAUCAGAAGUUUUUCAUAAGACUUUUCAUGAUCAUUGCAUUCAGUGUUCAUUUAUCAUUUAGAGAAAAAAAAAUUCAGUAAUUAUUUUCAACCAAUAUAGGAAGAGAUUGAGAGCAAAUAUUAAGAUCAUUUGAGAGGACAAUUGAGGAUUUUAUUAUUAUUAUUUAGUAUUUCUCACAGUGCCUCUUAUUGCUAUCAUGUCUGGUCUUCUUUUUCUACGCUUAAAUAUUCAACACCUCUGUUGUUUUGGCAUCAACAACUGACUCUGUCAGUGUACAUAAGAAGCCUCUGAUCUCUUAUGCUACCUAUGCAGAUUCUGAAUCCUGAGCCAAAACUUGGUCAAGUCAGAGGGGGGGUGUUCAUACAGAGUCCUAGAAAAAUCGUUAUGGGGAACAUCUAGUAUAUCUCAAAUCGUGUAGAGGAAUCUGCUGAAACAAAGCAUGCUGGUACCUAGCUUAACUUGUACUUGUUAAUUAUUAGUGAUUAAUUUUUAAUAGCUAUAUUUUAUAGCUUGUGGUUGGUUAUGCCCCAAGGUAAUGACUUCUUGUGUCUCAUAUUCUGUUAUUUGAAGGACAUCAUUCAAUAUAGCAUCUACACAGCUUUGUUAAAAGCAUUUAGAUCUAAAUUUUCUGCAGCAAAGACACAUUUAUUAAAUAGUCCAUAUGUUUAUUACUGUUCACAAUGAUCAAAUCCUGGGAAAACAUUGCAGAAAGAAAAUAUCUAGCUUCCUACCUUAAUUCCCAUUAUUCUAUUGAUUAGAAAAGUGAAGAUUACAUGUAUUAUCAACUGUAUUAUCAGAUAAUCCAUAAUCAGAUGCCAUUUUAAUGACAGGCAUGUGCUUUUUGUGGUGUUCCCUGGUAAAGCAGUAUGAAGAAUUUAAUGACUUCAUUAAAAGAUACUGCAUAACAAAGAAAGGAAAGCCCAAUGCUAUUUAAUAUUAUCUUUACAAUGUAUUACAUUGUUGAAUUGGAUUUUUUGUUUUGCUUACUUGGUUUUUGCUGUUGUUUUGCAAUUUUAUGUUCUGUAAGUUGAACAAUAAAUGUGUGAUAAGCAAAGGAAAUGUUGAGAUUUUUGCAGAUAUGGGCAAGCAGUGUUAUGACAGGUAUGUUCUGUGUCCUUAAAGAAACAGCAAGAAUGGUUUGUACCUUAAGAUGAUGAAUCUAUAGCGGACUUUCAAAUUCUUUUAAAAAGCAAAAUAAUAAGGAAGGUUUCACUGUUGCAGAUUGUGCCUGGAAUGUUGGGGCUGGGAGAUGCCACAAAGGAUAUUUUCCUUUUUUUUUUUUUUUUUCCAUUAUUUUAUUUGUUUGUGUGGUAUUUCGGUAUUUUUUUAUUGCCUGUCCAAGCUGACUGUACUAGUACCGCUGUGUUCUCAGAAGUGGAUCUGGAUGAUUCUUUACUUUUUUACUGGAGGUCGGAUUUACUUUUUUUUAGGAAGUCAGAUCCUGUCAUGAAGAUAGACUGGAAGUCAGGACUUUCCUUCUUGUGUCACAGACCUUGUGUGGGCCUAGCCUGGACAGGGUGUUUGAUUCUCACUGCUGCAGUAUUCCGUGUGAAAUUUGAAGUUUUGAUUUAUUCUUUCAAUUUGUUUAAGAAUACAUGUAUUCAUCAUGUAUGAGAUACAGAGAUGUAAUACUAAUGGAUACCUGGAUACAGUCCAUUGGAACGGUGAGUUUUGUAUCUCAAUUAUUGCAAAGCCUAAAAAUAGUUAAUAUUUGAGAGCAAAAAACAAAAUCGAGAAAACUCUUUGUCUUAAAUCUGCCUAUUCAUGAUUUGUCUAAAAGCACAUUAGUUUUGGGAAACAAAACUGAGAUUGUCUGCUGUUUUAGAACUUAAAAAUCAGUGAAAAUCAGCUGUUAUCAUCUUGACUUGGAACUGAAUUUGCUUUGUAACCUAAAAAGGCUGUAAUUUUGUAAAUAGGUAAUAGUUGUGGUAUUGUUUGUAUCAUUAAUACUGUAUUGCAUGUGUUACGAGUGUUGAUGCUGCUAGAUCUCUCAGUGGCUCAGGUUAGUGAAAGCUAUUUAAAGAAGUCUCUGAUGCAGAGAUGCCAUUACAUUUGAUAUCUUACAUUGUGAUUUACAGGUUUUUAAGGCUUUGUUUGAUGUUGAUUUUGGUUUUUUUUUUUUCAGAGCUCCUCUCCAGUGGUUCUCUGUUUGUUGAUCUGGCAAAGUCAUUUAAAUGAAAGUUCACAGUGCCAGAAUAUGGCUUAGCAAUUCACUGAAGCCACUAGAAUUGGGUUUUAUUUAUUUUAUUGUUUUAUUGCUGUCCUGCUCUGCUUGAAAUUCACCCAUUUAUGUUUAAGUAUGACAACAUAAAGCAAGUAGUAACAACUGUUUCUUUUUUUUUCAUUGAUCUGCGACAAAUUCUUCAGCUUA
Molecule: long non-coding RNA, 18068 nt
Filed under: Gallus gallus (chicken)
Lineage: Eukaryota; Metazoa; Chordata; Aves; Galliformes; Phasianidae
Description: lncRNA (ENSGALG00010011328.1)
Source: RNAcentral